This 3607-nucleotide long non-coding RNA is filed under the name Salvia miltiorrhiza (redroot sage). RNAcentral describes it as "long non-coding RNA (SMIL_LNC006262)". Lineage: Eukaryota; Viridiplantae; Streptophyta; Magnoliopsida; Lamiales; Lamiaceae. The record is from RNAcentral.
CCGGCAGCUGGAUCAGGCGCCGUUGAAGGAGCUGAUGAUGGUAGAUUCGGAGGUGGUGGUGCGGCUGGUGAGGAGGUUCAUGAACGAGGAGGAAGUUUGUAGAAGCGGCGCGGCGCUUAAGAAAGUGGCUAGACUCGUUGACGGCUACCUUGCUGAAGCAGCUGUUGAUCCUCAUCUGACGUUGCCGCAGUUUGUUGCUCUUGCUACCGCCCUCCCCUGCCAUGCACGCGCCACCGACGAUGGUGUUUAUCGUGCCAUCGAUAUAUACCUCAAAGUAAGCUAGCUAUUACUAGAUUUUUUGGGAUUAUUUCACCAAAUCUUCAUAGUGCUUUUCAGAAAAUUCACUUUCAUGAAAAAUUCUUUAUAUAUAUAUAUAGUCACUGCUAGCUAGCAUAAGAUUCUUCCUAGAGUUAACAAGAAAAAGAGUUUUCCUGCAUAUAUAAAUGAAUUAUAUCUGAGUUUAUUAUUAAGAAUUAGGCCAGAUGAAAUAUAUAAAAACAGUAUAUUACUAUUUAUUAAGAUGGAUUGAAAACUUAAAAUAUUAUGCUAAACCUUUUGAUUCUUUUCAAAAUUUAAGAUAACUUACUUGAUUCAUAUUUUAUUGAAAGGAAUAUAUAGAAUAGCAUAAAUUAUUGUGAUAAAUUAAAGAUAAAAAUAGUGAGCAUUUAAUUUAGUUGAAAUUAAUUAUUAGAAUUUCAUUAAUUUCACCUUUUUCAAUAGAACAUAAAUCAAACAAAUUAGUUGAAAUUGUAGAAAUUAUCAAGGGCAUAUAUAAGAUAUCCAAAAUCACAAUAUGUCUUUGUGAAUAAUAAAUUACUAUGUAUACUGUUUUUCUCUAUUCAGGCCAAUUCUAAAUAGCAAACGCCCCUAAGUAUAUUGUCUUACUUCCCAUUUGAUUUAAUUUGUAUUCAUUUUUGGGUUGUCUCAUUUGAUUUAGUAUGUUGUUAUUUUUUGGAGAAUCACUUUACAGUUUACACUGACUACAUUAAGGAUACGUUUGAUUUGAAUGAUAAAAAAAUGAACACACAUAUAUAUAUGCAGGCACAUCCAGGAUUGUCAAAGCAAGAGAGAAAAAGGCUGUGCAUGUUGAUCGAGAGCAGAAAGCUAUCAACGGAGGCAUGCCUCCAUGCGAGUCAAAACGAGAGGCUGCCGGUGCGGGCCGUGAUCCAGGUGCUGCUGUCGGAGCAGGACAAGCUGAGCAGGCACAUCGAGUGGAGCGGCUCGCUGAGCCCGUUUGUGGGGCCCGACAUGCGUUGCCUGUCGAAGCGCGAGGUGAUGAGCCAGCAGAUGGAGAUGAAGAGGCUCAAGGAAGACGUAGUGAUGCUGCAGAGGCAGUGCACCAGCAUGGAGAGGCAGAUGCAAAAGCUGUUGAAGAAGAAGGGAUAUUUCAGCUGGAAAAAGCUCGGCGCCGCCGUCUUUAAAAUUGGAGAAACGCCCAAUUCGCCCAUGCACUUGCCCGGACCCGGACCCACCACCUCUAACAGGUGGACCAAAUCUAUGCAGCUUGAAACUUAAAGACAAUUCACUUGGUUAAAAAAAUUUGGACCAUUUCUCGAUUUAUGCGUGUCAUCCUUGCGCAGGGGCCAUGCUAAUCUUCUCUGUAUCGUUCCAAUUUUAUCGGAUGUCCCCGAAGGGACAAUGCUUACUGCUAUCUCGUUCGCUAUAAAGCUUAAAUGUGUUGUUUGUAUUUUCGGUGUGGGAGAAGUACUGAAGAAGAAAGAAAUGAAAGUGAAUUGGGCCGGGCCGGGUAGAAUUCUAUUGAGACUUAAGUGAUUCCUUCAUUUUCUUUUUGGACCCUUAAUUUUCUACUCAUAUGGUUGAGUAUAGGACAAUUACAAAUGGUACUUCUUUUUAUUUUUUAUACGUGUGUAGUUUUUUUCUUCAAAAAAUAUGUGUGUAGUUGUAUGAAAAAAAUAAAAUAAAAAUAAAACAUGACUACAAGUAUUUAGUAUUUUUCCUAUCUUUUAUAAGAAUUAAUGAAAGAACAGAGUAUUAUCAAAUGUAGUUAAUAAAAUAAAAUAAAAAUCUUAUCUUCUAGAUCCAGUACAUGUAGGUUUUAGGAUACCUAACCUUCAUUCUAUAUAUGAAGUUGAUUUUUUUUUCCAAAUUUUAUUUCUUUAUUCCUUUUUGGUGGAAUCGGCAAAAAUUAUCGAAGAAUUGAAACUGAAGAUCCCCUAAAAAACAAUAUUAUUUAUUCAUUUGUGAUUUUAUAUAGUUUUACCUUUUCAUUUUCCCACAUUUUACCCCUACGUAUAUGAUUUUGAUAUUCGAGUGACAUGAUAGUGAUUAGUUACAAAUCACGCAAAGUAAUUCUAAUCAGCAUCUAGGCGCGAGAUUCUGCACAAUGGAACUGUUAGAACCGGGUACACGAUCGAGAUAUUACAAAAUAUUUAUUUUGAGAAAUUACAACUCAAAAUAAUUGAAAUAUUACAAAGUAAAUAAUUUGAGAAAUUACAACUCAAAUAAUUUGAUACAACUGAAAUAUACUGUAUAAAUAAAUUAUACGUAUAAACAAAAUCGAGUCGAGAUGAAUCUCUUCCCGCAAGAAGAUUAUCGCCCCGGUAGUGCUCUUCGGUUUGGCGUAUCUUCCCCAAAGGUAAAACGACUACGUCUCGGCGGAUGUAGCACCACAAUCCGGCGAGCUCCGGCGAACUGAAUAAGGAUCGAAAACUGAGCUAGAGGUGGAAUGCAGAAUGCAGACUAUUUUGUGAGUUGUGAGUUGUGAGUUUUCAGAGUAAUAAUUCUAAAGCUCACCACACACCCAUAUUUAUAGGUGUUAAACCGAGUGUGAACGGAUCGGCAGUCAACUCCGGCGGCUGCGGUAGGUGGCCGCAAUCGUUGAACGCAGAAGUUGAAACAGUCAAUUCCGGCGGCUGCGGUAGGUGGCCGCAAUCGUUGAACGCAGAGUUGAAACUGAUUUUUCCUCUUCAACAUCCAAACUUUGACAUACAUAUCUCACUCACCGGAAAUCGGUAUGAGACUUCAAGUAUAUCACGUUGAUCUACUCGAGAUGUAGAUUAACAUCCAAUCAUUAUUUUAAUUAAAUAAUAAAUAUUUAAUUAAAUAAUAAUUUUCAGAUUUGGCAUAAAACCAUAUUUCCAACAAUCCCCCACAUGAGUGAGAAAUCAGUAUNCGGCGCGCGUGGCCGGCGUUGUGGGAGCGGAGGCCGGGUGCCGCGAGGAGAUCGAGAGGCGCGUUUCCCGGCAGCUGGAUCAGGCGCCGUUGAAGGAGCUGAUGAUGGUAGAUUCGGAGGUGGUGGUGCGGCUGGUGAGGAGGUUCAUGAACGAGGAGGAAGUUUGUAGAAGCGGCGCGGCGCUUAAGAAAGUGGCUAGACUCGUUGACGGCUACCUUGCUGAAGCAGCUGUUGAUCCUCAUCUGACGUUGCCGCAGUUUGUUGCUCUUGCUACCGCCCUCCCCUGCCAUGCACGCGCCACCGACGAUGGUGUUUAUCGUGCCAUCGAUAUAUACCUCAAAGUAAGCUAGCUAUUACUAGAUUUUUUGGGAUUAUUUCACCAAAUCUUCAUAGUGCUUUUCAGAAAAUUCACUUUCAUGAAAAAUUCUUUAUAUAUAUAUAUAGUCACUGCUAGCUAGCAUAAGAUUCUUCCUA